RNAcentral lists this unclassified non-coding RNA (25 nucleotides) under Mus musculus (house mouse). RNAcentral describes it as "oocyte_clustered_small_RNA4937". The record is from RNAcentral. Lineage: Eukaryota; Metazoa; Chordata; Mammalia; Rodentia; Muridae.
UAAGCAUAAGGUGGUUUUGUUAAAA